GGAGUUUGGACCGUGUCUCAGUUCCAAUGUGGGGGACCUUCCUCUCAGAACCCCUACUGAUCGUUGGCCAGGUGGGCCGUUACCCCGCCUGCAACCUAAUCAGACGCAUCCCCAUCCCAUAGCGAUGAACCUUUGAUUCAAAUUAGAUGUCCGCUUUGAAUAACAUAGAGCAUUAAUCCGACUUUCGCCGGGCUAUUCUCUACUAUAGGGAAGGUUGGAUACGCGUUACUCACCCGUGCGCCGGUCGCCAUCAAAGUUUGCAAGCAAACUUCAUGAUGCCCCUCGACUUGCAUGUGUUAAGCCUGUAGCUAGCGUUCAUC
Molecule: ribosomal RNA, 320 nt
Filed under: uncultured Prevotella sp.
Lineage: Bacteria; Pseudomonadati; Bacteroidota; Bacteroidia; Bacteroidales; Prevotellaceae
Description: partial 16S ribosomal RNA
Source: RNAcentral